Molecule: ribosomal RNA, 422 nt
Filed under: uncultured prokaryote
Description: bacterial SSU rRNA
Rfam family: Bacterial small subunit ribosomal RNA
Source: RNAcentral
CCUACGGGGGGCAGCAAUUAGGAAUCUUGCGCAAUGGGCGAAAGCCUGACGCAGCGACGCCGCGUGACUGAUGAAGUCCUUCGGGAUGUAAAAGUCUUUUGCCAGGGAAGAAGGAUGUGACGGUACCUGGCGAAUAAGCCCCGGCUAACUACGUGCCAGCAGCCGCGGUAAUACGUAGGGGGCGAGCGUUGUCCGAAGUCACUGGGCGUAAAGCGCGCGUAGGCGGUCUUUUAAGUUGGAUGUGAAAUCCUGCGGCCCAACCGCAGAACUGCAUCCAAAACUGGGAGACUUGAGGAUGGAAGAGGGCAGGGGAAUUCCUGGUGUAGCGGUGAAAUGCGUAGAUAUCAGGAGGAACACCCGUGGCGAAGGCGGCUGCCUGGUCCAUAUCUGACGCUGAGGUGCGAAAGCCAGGGGAGCGAACG